Long non-coding RNA from Rattus norvegicus (Norway rat), 636 nucleotides. The record is from Ensembl. NCBI's taxonomy places the organism in Eukaryota, Metazoa, Chordata, Mammalia, Rodentia, Muridae.
CAGAGGGGUCCAGGUUACCCGGAGCAUCGUGGACUCGGCAGUUAAACUACGGGCUUGGAAAAGGAACGAAGGCACACCUUUUCUGGAUGCCUUCCAGUAUCAUCCUAUGUCUCUUCUGCAUCAUAUGGUAUCAAGAAACAUGUGAGAUAGUCCUAAGAAUUCAACCCAGGACCUCACCAUGCUAGCAGACAUCUGACUCCCUGGCAUGAUCAUCACACUCACGGUCAGAACGGCAGCACACACUCUGGCACUGAUGCCGGGAACUGUGAGUCACUGCUCCGGGUUCUUCCUGGUGUGGAAGUGAGUCUCCGAAGAGGGAGAAAGAGCAGUCUGUCAGAUACUUCAUGCACUAUAUCCCAUGGAAUUAUUUAAGAUGAGUAAAACUCUUUUGAGAAAUUAUUUUCUUUGUUCAAAGACUCAUACGUGGAUCCUUCCUGAAAAAUAUGUGAUUAGUCUUUUUAUCUAAAAGACCAUGGAAUUCUUCAUUUUCUCAGUUUUUUUUUUCCUACCUCCUCUUUCUUCAUCCGUUAUUUUCAACGAUAAAAAUGUAAACUUUGUUACAAGGUCAUUUGGAACUGGGAGCUUUUAGAAAAACAUUGAAUGAAAUAAAACAUAGUCAGUGACUAUAUGACUUUA